This 254-nucleotide unclassified non-coding RNA is filed under the name Patescibacteria group bacterium. Its description in RNAcentral is "contains 16S-23S intergenic spacer region". It matches the Rfam family "Bacterial small subunit ribosomal RNA", at positions 524 to 776 of the family's 1533-position model. The record is from RNAcentral.
UACGAAGGCCCCAAGCGUUGUCCGGAUUUAUUGGGCGUAAAGAGCUCACAGGCGGUUUGGAAAGUCAAGGGACAAAACAUAGGGCUCAACCCUAUGAUCUUCCUUGAAACUUCUAAACUUGAGGACAGGAGAGGCAAGCGGAACGGCUGGUGUAGGGGUUAAAUCCGUUAAUAUCAGCUGGAACACCAAUGGCGAAGGCAGCUUGCUGGAAUGUUCCUGACGCUAUAGGAGCGAAAGCGUGGGUCGCGAAUGGG